UACGUAGGGACCAAGCGUUGUUCGGAUUUACUGGGCGUAAAGGGCGCGUAGGCGGCAUGACAAGUCACUUGUGAAAUCUCCGGGCUUAACUCGGAACGGUCAAGUGAUACUGUCGCGCUAGAGUGCGGAAGGGGCAAUCAGAAUUCUUGGUGUAGCGGUGAAAUGCGUAGAUAUCAAGAGGAAUACCGGAGGUGAAGACGGGUUGCUAGGCCGACACUGACGCUGAAGCGCGAAAGCCAGGGGAGCAAACGGG
This 253-nucleotide ribosomal RNA is filed under the name uncultured bacterium. RNAcentral describes it as "partial 16S ribosomal RNA". It matches the Rfam family "Bacterial small subunit ribosomal RNA", at positions 524 to 776 of the family's 1533-position model. The record is from RNAcentral.